RNAcentral lists this ribosomal RNA (453 nucleotides) under Triticum aestivum (bread wheat). Its description in RNAcentral is "partial small subunit ribosomal RNA". Lineage: Eukaryota; Viridiplantae; Streptophyta; Magnoliopsida; Poales; Poaceae. The record is from RNAcentral.
AUGCAAGUUGUUCAUGUGGUCAGCCAUUCAGUACAGGCUUUGGACUUCAGACAGAAGAUGGAGAUAUGGGAUACAGGAGGAGAAAUCACCGUGUUUUCUAUGCGAGCAGGAGGAAGACAUGAUGGACCACAUUUGCUGCAGUGUGUUUUUUCUCGGCAAGUUUGGUACAUGUGCUUUGCCAGAAUGGGGAUUGAUCUGGCUCUAUGCCCCUCGGCUGAAGCUAGAAUUGGAGGAUGGUGGUCGGAAGCGAGGAAGCGCAUGCCAAAAAUGCACCAUAAGGGGUUUGACUCCGUUGUCACGUCGAUAUGCUGGAAUCUAUGGAAGCAACGCAACUGCAGGGUGUUUGGCAGAACAGACUUACGGAACGUAGGGGGCACAGUGGACCUAAUCUGGCAAGAGCUUGAAAUGUGGACUAGGGCCGGGGCCACCGGAGUAGCUACGUUUUGUGAGUAG